RNAcentral lists this ribosomal RNA (517 nucleotides) under bacterium enrichment culture clone 42. RNAcentral's name for it is "bacterial SSU rRNA". It matches the Rfam family "Bacterial small subunit ribosomal RNA", at positions 38 to 524 of the family's 1533-position model. The record is from RNAcentral.
GAAAAAAGGGGGCCCACGCGGCGGCGCGUUAAAAGCAUCGCAAGUCGAUUAGCUAAGGGCCUUCGGGCCCCUAGAGCGGCGGACGGGUGAGUAACACGUGGACAAUCUGCCCCCCGGCCCGGGAUUGCCCAGGGAAACCUGGAUUAAUACCGGAUGAGACGGGACCCGCGAUGGCGGGACCCGGGAAAGGCGCUGCGGCGCCGCCGGGGGAUGAGUCUGCGUCCCAUUAGCUAGACGGCGGGGUAACGGCCCACCGUGGCGACGAUGGGUAGCCGGCCUGAGAGGGUGGACGGCCACAUUGGAACUGAGACACGGUCCAGACUCCUACGGGAGGCAGCAGCUUUUAUUCUUCCGCAAUGGGCGAAAGCCUGACGGAGCGACGCCGCGUGAACGAAGAAGGCCGUGAGGUUGUAAAGUUCUUUUCGGGAGGGGGAACAACCGUGGCAGGGAAUGGCCGCGGGAUGACGUGAAUCCCGGAAUAAGCCCCGGUUAACUACGUGCCAGCAGCCGCGGUCAU